GGGCCAGUAGCUCAACGGUAGAGCAGCAGACUCAUAAUCUGUUGGUUCCUGGUUCGAACCCAGGCUGGCCCA
RNAcentral lists this transfer RNA (72 nucleotides) under Phycisphaerae bacterium. Its description in RNAcentral is "tRNA-Ile". It matches the Rfam family "tRNA". From Rfam's summary of the family: Transfer RNA (tRNA) molecules are approximately 80 nucleotides in length. Their secondary structure includes four short double-helical elements and three loops (D, anti-codon, and T loops). Further hydrogen bonds mediate the characteristic L-shaped molecular structure. tRNAs have two regions of fundamental functional importance: the anti-codon, which is responsible for specific mRNA codon recognition, and the 3' end, to which the tRNAs corresponding amino acid is attached (by aminoacyl-tRNA synthetases). tRNAs cope with the degeneracy of the genetic code in two manners: having more than one tRNA (with a specific anti-codon) for a particular amino acid; and 'wobble' base-pairing, i.e. permitting non-standard base-pairing at the 3rd anti-codon position. RNAcentral also lists the same sequence under 1 other name. Lineage: Bacteria; Pseudomonadati; Planctomycetota; Phycisphaerae. The record is from RNAcentral.